CUACGGGAGGCAGCAGUCGAGAAUUUUUCUCAAUGGGGGAAACCCUGAAGGAGCGACGCCGCGUGGAGGAUGAAGGCUUUCGGGUUGUAAACUCCUGUCAUUUGAGAACAAGGUGCACAUGUUAACUGCAUGUGUUUUGAUAGUAUCAGAAGAGGAAGGGACGGGUAACUCUGUGCCAGCAGACGGGGUAAUACAGAGGUCCCAAGGGUUGGUCGGAUUCAUUGGGCGUAAAGGGUGCGUAGGGGGGGGCAUAAGUCGGGUGGGAAAUCUCGGGGGUUAAACUCGAAAAUGGAUUCGAUACUGUGGUGGUUGAGGACUGGAGAGGAGAAUGGAAUUUACGGGGGAGCAGUGAAAUGGGUAGAGAUCGGAAGGGAGAACAGUGGCGAAGGCGGGUCUCUGGACAGGUCCUGACACUGAGGGACGAAGGCCAGGGGAGCAAACGGGAUUAGAUACCCCGGUAGUCCUGGGAGUAAAAGGGGCACGUUUGGUGUGGGAGGAUUCCAACCCUUCUGCGGCGGAGCUAACGCGUUAAACGUGGCGCUGGGGAGUCCGUUCCCAAGAUUAACACUCAAAGAAAUUGCCGGGGCCCCCCACAAGCGGUGAAGUAUGUG
RNAcentral lists this ribosomal RNA (611 nucleotides) under uncultured bacterium. RNAcentral describes it as "bacterial SSU rRNA". It matches the Rfam family "Bacterial small subunit ribosomal RNA", at positions 339 to 943 of the family's 1533-position model. The record is from RNAcentral.